RNAcentral lists this long non-coding RNA (2473 nucleotides) under Polistes fuscatus (common paper wasp). Its description in RNAcentral is "uncharacterized LOC122513470, transcript variant X2". The record is from RNAcentral. Lineage: Eukaryota; Metazoa; Arthropoda; Insecta; Hymenoptera; Vespidae.
AACACUUUCACGUCGCGACGGACGGACGAUUACUGACACUCUAACGACCGACUGACGUAGUAUCCAAGAUUCAAACGCCAUCUUUAAACAGAAUUCUAUCGAAAGUAUCAGUGCGCAAGCGUUAUUCCACCACCCUCUUCUCUCAGAACACACAACCCAAACCUUUUUCCAAUUCUCCUCGUGCAGUACGCAAGUAUUAUUCUCACUCGCUCAGGGAAAGUCGGAGAACAACGUUUAGUAGCAGCUGAUAGUUGUGGACAUUCAUUCGGUGUCCCUUCCCCCCAACCCCCUUUCCUAUUUUUUCCUUUCCCCCGGAAUUCUAAGAUCUUCUUACAAACUUUGUUAAUGACGUUCCAGGUAGACCGAGGAUGACCCCACGGUGAUUCGUUGGACAUGGAAUUUUUUUUCUAAGCAUUUUCGGACCUCUUCCAAUCUUAGCAUUCCCCUCAGAUGACUAGUGUCGUUAGGUACUAAAAAAAAUGGUGCUAAUCCGAUGAUAGAUCAAAUCCGGAGAGUAAGCUCUCCCUCCCCCCAUAAGGGACAGUUUCUCAUUCUCCCACGUGCCUAAAGCAACGCGUGACCGAGCGUUGUCAUGUUGCAAAAUGACGUGGCUUGUUCCGUUUUUGUUCCAGUUCGUUGUAUACUGUGGUUAACUGUUUUGUCGGUAGUAGUCUGGAGUUAUUGUUUGACCAGGUGGAAUCAACACUACAGACUAUAAAACAAUUCUUUUUUUCUAACGAUAAUACUUUUGAUAAUACUUUUUGCACGUUUUAUGAGUUAGAUAUCCCGUCCCUUCCUAAUGUCGGUGACGCAAGUGAUACUUCCGACACGUAAUCGUGACGUUUAUAAAUUGUUUUGGAUAGACCGAAAAGGAAGUCAAAUUGUAAAUGGGUACAUUAUUAUACUUUUUAGAUGGCAUCAAGAGUGCUGAUCAAAUUCGAAUUCGAACAGUAGUAUUAGGCUGAACAUCUAUCUACAUUUGACAUUACCAUUCUCAUGAUCAUUUUUAGAAAAUGCACGAAUUAUUCGAAUACGUCGUAGCAUCUGGUUUCGAAUAUCCUCAGGUCAAAGUGCCAGUGGCAUUAAUCUCUUAUAUCAUCUGGAGAGCAUGAAGAGGACUCGUUAAAUAUAUUCGAGAUAAAACUCAACGCAUGCGACACAACCAUAAUCUAUAUACUACAUGUGUAUAAAUAUGUUAGUUCGUUUAUAUAUAUAUGCACGUAGAUGUUUUGAACGGUGCAUAUUUUUCUUGGUUGGCAUAGACAUGCAGCCUGCACGUUUCGAUGAUGAAAAAGAAAGAAGUUUAAGCGGGGGUUGGUUGGGGUGGUAGGAAAAAAAGGUACGGGAGGAGAGGAAGGAACAGGUUUUGUUCUCCCUCCACGAAGCAUGACGUUGCUACAAGAUCAUUCGGUACAAAAGUGUGUGUGUGUGUAUGUGUGCAGGAACCACCUACGCGGCAAACACUGUAAAGAAAAAAGAAAAGAGAAAAGAGAAAGAGAGAGAGAGAGAGAUAAAUCGCACGCUUUGCGGUUUCUCUAACGCGUAACGGGGUUCGCAAAGAGAGAAAGAGAAAGGAAGAUAAAUAGUUUUUUUGUUUAUAGUUUCGUUCUCUUUUUACGAUUAAGGAUUCGUCAUCGAAUCCGCGUUUGGUAUGAUGAAUCCAGGAAAAAUAAAUGUUUCAUGAAAUCAAUUACGUUUCAGAAGAAUAGUUGGCGUUUUAAAUACUUUGCUGACGAUAGUAUGACAUUAAAUACGAAGGAAGUAAAUUCAUUCUGUUUUAAUGAAUGAAUGCGAGACCACGAGGGAAGGAAGAUCAUUUACGCUUACUGCAUUUCGUCUCCGUUGCAGUCUCGUCGUGCCAGUUGAAACAAAAAUGAUCUACCAAUAAGAAGGAAUAGUGGAGACAGUUUUUUCUGAUGCAGAUUAUACUCUACCUACGUAACAUUCCAUUUAUUCAUAAAGCAUUAACGAUUUAUCCUGAUUCGUCACCGGCUCCACCGUGAAGAUAAUUACACGAUGUUUAGAUAAUCGAAAAGAAGGAAAAAAAAACUACAGAAAAAGAGAUAUGGUAUGGUAAACCCGUUGCAAAUGCACUAGCCAACUUUAAUACAAACGUCGGAUUACAGUUGACCCAGUUACCAAUGACCACCACCGCCGAGCCCUCUUAGCCAACGAACUGCUUUACUUUCGUAGAAAAAUUCUAUACCACAGUAUGGUGGCGAGAUGGGAGCGAUCAAGGAACAGAACCUUGAAAAGACAAGUUAUACGAUAUGCUCGAAGCAUAGUGAUUCAUAGUCGAUUGGUUUGACGUAAUCGUGCCUCAACUACCAGAUCAGUAAUAAGGAGUACACUCGAUCACCAUGUAUUAACUUUAUUCCCGUUGACGCUUCCGCUCGUACAAUUAUAAAUCAACCAGACAUAGUAAAUCGCUUUGCGAACGAUUAUGGCAAAUAAAACAUUUUGACAAAAAUAA